CCUACGGGCGGCAGCAGUGGGGAAUAUUGCACAAUGGGGGAAACCCUGAUGCAGCGACGCCGCGUGAGUGAAGAAGUAAUUCGUUAUGUAAAGCUCUAUCAGCAGGGGAGAAAAUGACGGUACCUGAGUAAGAAGCCCCGGAAAACUACGUGCCAGACGCCGCGGUAAUACGUAGGGGGCAAGCGUUAUCCGGAUUUACUGGGGUUAAAGGGAGCGUAGACGGCAGUGCAAGUCUGGAGUGAAAGGCGGGGGGUCAACCCCCGGACAGCCGUGGAAACUGUACGGCUGGAGUUGGAGAGAGGUAAGCGGAAUGCGUGGUGUAGCGGUGAAAUGCGUAGAUAUUAGGCAGAACCCCAGUUGCGAAGGCGGCUUACCGGACUGAAACUGACGUUGAGGCUCGAAAGCGUGGGUAUCGAACAGGAUUAGAUACCCGUGUAGUC
Molecule: ribosomal RNA, 440 nt
Filed under: uncultured bacterium
Lineage: Bacteria
Description: partial 16S ribosomal RNA
Rfam family: Bacterial small subunit ribosomal RNA
Source: RNAcentral